Molecule: long non-coding RNA, 298 nt
Organism: Drosophila navojoa
Lineage: Eukaryota; Metazoa; Arthropoda; Insecta; Diptera; Drosophilidae
Source: RefSeq, a predicted model, not a curated record
GUUCUGGAAGCCUACACGUGCUGUGUGACUCAACCACUGAUAACCAUGAAGCACAAACACAAUUUUAUUUUAAGUACAUGCAUACAUAAUUCCGCGCUCUGAAGUCAAGAACUGAAACGGAGCAACAAACAGCAGCAGGAAAAUUCAAAACACCACAGUGAACGUAACAGAGAGAGUGUGAGAGAGAGAGGGUGGGCAGAGCCGUAAGCGAGAGAGCACGAGAACUGAAGAGAGAACUGAGAGAAAAAUGCCGGCUUUAGCACAGUGAGGCAACAACGAGUAAUAAAACGACAAAAAU